UACGUAGGGUGCGAGCGUUAAUCGGAAUUACUGGGCGUAAAGCGUGCGUAGACGGCUAUCUAAGUCGGGUGUGAAAGCCCCGGGCUCAACCUGGGAAUUGCAUUCGAGACUGAAUAGCUAGGGUGCGGUAGAGGGAAGCGGAAUUUCCGGUGUAGCGGUGAAAUGCGUAGAUAUCGGAAGGAACAUCAGUGGCGAAAGCGGCUUCCUGGACCAGCACCGACGUUCAGGCACGAAAGCGUGGGGAGAAAACAGG
Molecule: ribosomal RNA, 253 nt
Filed under: uncultured bacterium
Lineage: Bacteria
Description: partial 16S ribosomal RNA
Rfam family: Bacterial small subunit ribosomal RNA
Source: RNAcentral